Molecule: transfer RNA, 77 nt
Filed under: Coriobacteriaceae bacterium
Lineage: Bacteria; Bacillati; Actinomycetota; Coriobacteriia; Coriobacteriales; Coriobacteriaceae
Description: tRNA-Met
Rfam family: tRNA
About the family: Transfer RNA (tRNA) molecules are approximately 80 nucleotides in length. Their secondary structure includes four short double-helical elements and three loops (D, anti-codon, and T loops).
Source: RNAcentral
UGCGGGAUGGAGCAGUCUGGUAGCUCGUCGGGCUCAUAACCCGAAGGUCAUCGGUUCAAAUCCGGUUCCCGCGACCA